Long non-coding RNA from Siniperca chuatsi (mandarin fish), 1250 nucleotides. RefSeq lists it as uncharacterized. NCBI's taxonomy places the organism in Eukaryota, Metazoa, Chordata, Actinopteri, Centrarchiformes, Sinipercidae. The transcript is spliced from 3 exons. The record is from RefSeq and is a predicted model, not a curated record.
CAUGAACUUUGAACUCUUGAUACAAAUGUUGAAACAAAUGGAUUCAAUAAGAGAUUUAAAGAUAGAUUCAGAUCAAAUGAUAUCAGUCCAUCUCUGUUGUCUGUUUGUCAGCAUGUUGUCAACAUUAACUAUUUAAAAUGACGCCAUAAAAUAUUCUGAAUAUUUUGUAAUUUUCCACAAACACGCUCAUCCAAUCAGCCGAGACCCCUGAAUGGUCAGAGUAUCACAUGACGUCACUGCAUACGUGUCCAUUUCUAACAAUUCUUCACCAGAACUGAAUUUCACAAUGAAAUCCAAAGUUUCCUGACGAUGUGUUUCAGGUGCGGACGAGGACGCGGUCUGCAGGUGAAGAUGAGUGAGAGCUGAAUUUUUCUGAAUGUUACAGACUUCUUCUUGACUUGUACCUGCAGAAGGAAGAGAGAAGCGUGACGUCCCUAACUGGGCGAUGACCUCCUCCGACUCCUCCAGCCGGGUGGAGGAAACCGGCUACGACCGAAUCCGAGACCUGGCCAGAGCCUUCCGGGCUCAUUUUCCCUCCGCAGACCGACUCGGGUACGGAGUCCACGAGCCGGACGAGUAGAAACACAAACAGGAAGUUCAGUUUGUGAAGCCAAUCAGAAGCAGGAUGUUGAUCUGUGUGUCCAUGAAGAGCCGCCAUGAGUCCACCGCUUUCUUUACAGAGCACGUGAGCCAGCGCUCUGUUUCUUUCUAAUGUGAGCAGAGUUACAAAGGAUUCACAGAAACUAACAUGUGGUUAAAGGAGUCAGUCUGUCACAGCACAAAGUGUUGUUGUACUGGAGGAAGUAUUCAGAUCCUUUACUUCAGUAAAAGUACUAAUACCGCACUGUAAAACACUCUGUUACUUAUGAAAACGUUACUUAAGUAAAGGUAUGUAAAAGUAUAAUCAGGAAAAUUUACUUGUUGAUUGAUUGAUUGUUUAGUUUGUAAAAUGUUAGAAAAUGUUGAGAAAUGCGUCACAAUUACCCAGAAUCCUUUAUGUUCUUGUACACUUUUCCUGUAUCUGUUGUUGUAUUUUGAAUUUGAUCAAUAAAGUAAAAAAGUUCCUGUGAGAUUUAUAUUGUUCAUCAUUUGUAUCACAGGCAAAGUGCUCUGUGUAUAAUAAACAUGACAGAAGGCGACAUGAGGAAACCUGAAGUGUCAGCUUCAGUCAGACGGAUGAAGUACAUGUAGUAUAAAGUACUACAGUAAAGUAUAUGUAGCAUAAAGAACUGCAGUAAAGUACAUGUAGU